UCUAUUCAGAGGAACCUGCUUCUAUAAUUGAUAAUCCACGAUUUAAUUUACUUGCUUUAUUAAUUUAUAUAUCGUCGUAGUUUGAAUAUUUUACUGUUGUUCCUGUGCCCCUUUUAUUCUUCCUCGUAAACUACACCUUGCUCUGAUUUUUUUUAUUAUUAAAAAUCUUGAAUAUUAAAAUUCUACUAAAAUAUUCAAAGCUAGCGGACGGAUAUAUAAAUUAAUAAAGGCAAGUAAAUUAAUUAGUUA
Molecule: ribosomal RNA, 249 nt
Filed under: Chrysomela lapponica
Lineage: Eukaryota; Metazoa; Arthropoda; Insecta; Coleoptera; Chrysomelidae
Description: partial 12S ribosomal RNA
Source: RNAcentral